GAAAUGCGAUAAGUAAUGUGAAUUGCAGAAUUCAGUGAAUCAUCGAAUCUUUGAACGCACAUUGCGCCCGCCAGCACUCUGGCGGGCAUGUCUGUUCGAGCGUCAUUUCAACCCUCAGAACCCCUUGCGGGAUCUGGCGUUGGGGAUUGGCAUCCAGCCAGCCCCGAAAUCUAGUGGCGGUCCCUCCGCGACCUCCCCUGUGCAGUAGCGAUACCUCGCAGCGGGACAGCGGUCUGACCACGCCGUAAAACCCCCAACUUCUCAAGGUUGACCUCGAAUCAGGUAGGAAUACCCGCUGAACUUAAG
Molecule: unclassified non-coding RNA, 306 nt
Filed under: plant metagenome
Description: partial contains 5.8S ribosomal RNA, internal transcribed spacer 2, and large subunit ribosomal RNA
Rfam family: 5.8S ribosomal RNA (bases 1-105)
Source: RNAcentral